This is a long non-coding RNA of Helianthus annuus (common sunflower), 730 nucleotides long. RefSeq lists it as uncharacterized. NCBI's taxonomy places the organism in Eukaryota, Viridiplantae, Streptophyta, Magnoliopsida, Asterales, Asteraceae. The transcript has 2 exons. The record is from RefSeq and is a predicted model, not a curated record.
UUUAAAGCAACACUUUUCAUUUAAGCGGCAUCUCUAUUUCAAUCAACGCUAUGCCCCAAAGUCCUUUAUCUUUCCAAACUACACCUUCAUUCCAAACUUCAAUCUAAACAACACUGAUGUGUUUAGAAUUAUACACAUUUUUACGAAUUGGUGAAAAACCGGUUAAUUCUGCGGUGAAAACAGAGGAAAACGGACGAAGUAGAGAGCACGGAAAAGCGUGUCGGAAAGUGAUGUUCAAGUAAUGAAAUCUGCUGGUCAGGAAGGCUUACGGACCGUAAGCAAUAUACCCAUACGGUCCAUAAGUAGUGGAGAUUAAAAUUUUUAUUGAAGCCUUACGGACAGUAAGCCUUCGGGCCAUACGGUCCGCAAGAGGGACACGGAACAUGAUUUUGGUUAGCCUUACGGACCGUAAGCCGUAGGGCCAUAUGGUCCGUAUCCAUAUCGGUUUUGCGAAAAAAAUAGCUUUUAAAACCUUACGACCUUAGGGUUUGCAUAUCUCGCAUACCAGACGGCAAAGGGCAAGUUGAGGAUGAUCUUGGAGCAUCUUGAAGCUGAUCAAAGGUCUUGGAAGCAUUUGGUUCGUGUUUGGAGCGUAUUGGGUUCGUUAAACAUUAGUUCUUCGUAUUUAAUUUGGUUUGAACCAUGAUUUCUAUUGUUUUCAGACUUGAUUUAGUUGUGUUCUUGAAUAUUAUGAGUAGCUAAACUUCUAAACUACUUAGGUUGAGAUGAA